This 2902-nucleotide ribosomal RNA is filed under the name Enterobacter roggenkampii MGH 34. RNAcentral describes it as "bacterial LSU rRNA". It matches the Rfam family "Bacterial large subunit ribosomal RNA". Lineage: Bacteria; Pseudomonadati; Pseudomonadota; Gammaproteobacteria; Enterobacterales; Enterobacteriaceae. The record is from RNAcentral.
UUAAGCGACUAAGCGUACACGGUGGAUGCCCUGGCAGUCAGAGGCGAUGAAGGACGUGCUAAUCUGCGAAAAGCGCCGGCGAGGUGAUAUGAACCUUUGACCCGGCGAUGUCCGAAUGGGGAAACCCAGUGCAAUUCGUUGCACUAUCGUUAACUGAAUACAUAGGUUAACGAGGCGAACCGGGGGAACUGAAACAUCUAAGUACCCCGAGGAAAAGAAAUCAACCGAGAUUCCCCCAGUAGCGGCGAGCGAACGGGGAGCAGCCCAGAGUCUGAAUCAGCUUGUGUGUUAGUGGAAGCGUCUGGAAAGUCGCACGGUACAGGGUGACAGUCCCGUACACGAAAAUGCACAGGUUGUGAACUCGAAGAGUAGGGCGGGACACGUGGUAUCCUGUCUGAAUAUGGGGGGACCAUCCUCCAAGGCUAAAUACUCCUGACUGACCGAUAGUGAACCAGUACCGUGAGGGAAAGGCGAAAAGAACCCCGGCGAGGGGAGUGAAAAAGAACCUGAAACCGUGUACGUACAAGCAGUGGGAGCACCUUCGGGUGUGACUGCGUACCUUUUGUAUAAUGGGUCAGCGACUUAUAUUCUGUAGCAAGGUUAACCGUAUAGGGGAGCCGAAGGGAAACCGAGUCUUAACUGGGCGUUAAGUUGCAGGGUAUAGACCCGAAACCCGGUGAUCUAGCCAUGGGCAGGUUGAAGGUUGGGUAACACUAACUGGAGGACCGAACCGACUAAUGUUGAAAAAUUAGCGGAUGACUUGUGGCUGGGGGUGAAAGGCCAAUCAAACCGGGAGAUAGCUGGUUCUCCCCGAAAGCUAUUUAGGUAGCGCCUCGUGAACUCAUCUUCGGGGGUAGAGCACUGUUUCGGCUAGGGGGCCAUCCCGGCUUACCAACCCGAUGCAAACUACGAAUACCGAAGAAUGUUAUCACGGGAGACACACGGCGGGUGCUAACGUCCGUCGUGAAGAGGGAAACAACCCAGACCGCCAGCUAAGGUCCCAAAGUCAUGGUUAAGUGGGAAACGAUGUGGGAAGGCACAGACAGCCAGGAUGUUGGCUUAGAAGCAGCCAUCAUUUAAAGAAAGCGUAAUAGCUCACUGGUCGAGUCGGCCUGCGCGGAAGAUGUAACGGGGCUAAACCAUGCACCGAAGCUGCGGCAGCGACACUAUGUGUUGUUGGGUAGGGGAGCGUUCUGUAAGCCGUUGAAGGUGUGCUGUGAGGCAUGCUGGAGGUAUCAGAAGUGCGAAUGCUGACAUAAGUAACGAUAAAGCGGGUGAAAAGCCCGCUCGCCGGAAGACCAAGGGUUCCUGUCCAACGUUAAUCGGGGCAGGGUGAGUCGACCCCUAAGGCGAGGCCGAAAGGCGUAGUCGAUGGGAAACAGGUUAAUAUUCCUGUACUUGGUGUUACUGCGAAGGGGGGACGGAGAAGGCUAUGUUAGCCGGGCGACGGUUGUCCCGGUUUAAGCAUGUAGGCGGAGGGUCUAGGUAAAUCCGGUCGUUUAUUAACGCUGAGGUGUGAUGACGAGGCACUACGGUGCUGAAGUAACAAAUGCCCUGCUUCCAGGAAAAGCCUCUAAGCAUCAGGUAACAUCAAAUCGUACCCCAAACCGACACAGGUGGUCAGGUAGAGAAUACCAAGGCGCUUGAGAGAACUCGGGUGAAGGAACUAGGCAAAAUGGUGCCGUAACUUCGGGAGAAGGCACGCUGAUAUGUAGGUGAAGCCCCUGCGGGUGGAGCUGAAAUCAGUCGAAGAUACCAGCUGGCUGCAACUGUUUAUUAAAAACACAGCACUGUGCAAACACGAAAGUGGACGUAUACGGUGUGACGCCUGCCCGGUGCCGGAAGGUUAAUUGAUGGGGUUAGCGGCAACGCGAAGCUCUUGAUCGAAGCCCCGGUAAACGGCGGCCGUAACUAUAACGGUCCUAAGGUAGCGAAAUUCCUUGUCGGGUAAGUUCCGACCUGCACGAAUGGCGUAAUGAUGGCCAGGCUGUCUCCACCCGAGACUCAGUGAAAUUGAACUCGCUGUGAAGAUGCAGUGUACCCGCGGCAAGACGGAAAGACCCCGUGAACCUUUACUAUAGCUUGACACUGAACACUGGUCCUUGAUGUGUAGGAUAGGUGGGAGGCUUUGAAGUGUGGACGCCAGUCUGCGUGGAGCCGUCCUUGAAAUACCACCCUUUAAUGGCUGGUGUUCUAACGUAGACCCGUGAUCCGGGUUGCGGACAGUGUCUGGUGGGUAGUUUGACUGGGGCGGUCUCCUCCCAAAGAGUAACGGAGGAGCACGAAGGUUAGCUAAUCCUGGUCGGACAUCAGGAGGUUAGUGCAAUGGCAUAAGCUAGCUUGACUGCGAGAGUGACGGCUCGAGCAGGUGCGAAAGCAGGUCAUAGUGAUCCGGUGGUUCUGAAUGGAAGGGCCAUCGCUCAACGGAUAAAAGGUACUCCGGGGAUAACAGGCUGAUACCGCCCAAGAGUUCAUAUCGACGGCGGUGUUUGGCACCUCGAUGUCGGCUCAUCACAUCCUGGGGCUGAAGUAGGUCCCAAGGGUAUGGCUGUUCGCCAUUUAAAGUGGUACGCGAGCUGGGUUUAGAACGUCGUGAGACAGUUCGGUCCCUAUCUGCCGUGGGCGCUGGAGAAUUGAGGGGGGCUGCUCCUAGUACGAGAGGACCGGAGUGGACGCAUCACUGGUGUUCGGGUUGUCAUGCCAAUGGCACUGCCCGGUAGCUAAAUGCGGAAAAGAUAAGUGCUGAAAGCAUCUAAGCACGAAACUUGCCCCGAGAUGAGUUCUCCCUGAGACUUUAAGUCUCCUGAAGGAACGUUGAAGACGACGACGUUGAUAGGUCGGGUGUGUAAGCGCAGCGAUGCGUUGAGCUAACCGAUACUAAUGAACCGUGAGGCUUAACCUU